GGGGAGGUGGCAGAGUGGUCGAAUGCGAGCGCCUGCUAAGCGCUUGAGCGGGCUUUCACCGCUCCGCGGGUUCGAAUCCCGCCCUUCCCG
Molecule: transfer RNA, 90 nt
Filed under: Chloroflexota bacterium
Lineage: Bacteria; Bacillati; Chloroflexota
Also listed under: 1 other name
Description: Chloroflexi bacterium tRNA-Ser
Rfam family: tRNA
About the family: Transfer RNA (tRNA) molecules are approximately 80 nucleotides in length. Their secondary structure includes four short double-helical elements and three loops (D, anti-codon, and T loops).
Source: RNAcentral